UUUCCUGUCCUUGGGCUCUUGGGCCAACAUGAGACAUAUUAAUAGGUUUUUGUCCUCUGAGCAGUGACCAUCAGUGAUGACUCUGCAAAAUGUGAAGAUGGAGGUGAACCUCUGAAAGCUUCCACCCCAGCAGUGAAAAGGAAAACUGGGAUAGGACAGCAGCCAGAUGUGCCUGUGGAUUUUCAAGCUGAAAUAGUUCCUGUGACUUGUAAAGAGAAGAUGGGGCUGUUAAUUAAGAGAAGAAUAGAACAAGGAACUACAAUGAAGUGCAUAGCAGAGGCAGAAAUACAUUGGUUCACCCUCGGUGAAUUUGAAAUCAGAGGAGUCCACAAAACACUGGACCAAUGGAAGAUGAGACUGCACUGUGGAUGGAACUCUGAGUAGACCUCCAAGAAAACAUGGUUCAAAUAAAGAGGUGA
Long non-coding RNA from Phyllostomus hastatus (greater spear-nosed bat), 419 nucleotides. RefSeq lists it as uncharacterized. The record is from RefSeq and is a predicted model, not a curated record. The transcript is spliced from 4 exons. NCBI's taxonomy places the organism in Eukaryota, Metazoa, Chordata, Mammalia, Chiroptera, Phyllostomidae.